GCUUCUUCUCCUCCUCUUUCGCCUCCUCCUCUUCCUUCGCUUCUCCUCCUCCUCCUCGUCUUCCUCCUUCUUCUCCUCCUCCAGUUCUCCCUCCUCCUCUUUCCCCACCUCCUCCCCCUCGGCCACCGCCUCCUCUCCACCACCAUCACUCCCUCCGGGACACCCUGGUCCCUGCAGAGUCCCCGGUCGGCGCCGCCUCCUCUGCGGCCCCCUAGAUUCCCCAGCCUGCCGAUCCCGGGCUUGGGGGAACAGACGGACACGCGGACACUACAUAUUCCUCGCGCCCAGCGCUUCCGCUCUGCUGCCCUCCGCAGCCCCGCGUCUGGGGAGCUGGAAUCGCCCCGGGAGCCUUCGAGGAUUCAUGAAGUGAGAACAUAGAUUUUUGAUUUGAGAUGCUUCUUUUCUAAAGUGGUCAAAUCAGACUCUAAAUUAUGAAAAAAACUGAAGAUGAGAGGCAGAACCACAAAAAGACCCUGUAGAAGGUCCUGGAGCUGAAAUGACCCCAGCACCCCAGGGAGACAGGUUCCUUCUGCCCUGGCUCCUGAUCAGGUUGAGACAACAUGGGGACAGGGUGAGUGCUCAGCAGAAGACUGGAAGCAGGGAGGACACUGAAGCUGAAAUGGGGAUGCCUCUGACUGCCUUCUCACAGAAUCCAGUGCGUGUUCACCCAAGGAAAGGAGGAGCUAUGGAAGCUGACAGCUACCAAUAGGGCACCUGAAUUCAAUCCCUGGUCAGGGAAUUAGAUUCCCACAUGCCACAGCUAAGAGUUUAAAUGCUGCAGCUAAAGAUCCUGCAGGGUACAGGAAAGAUCGAAGGUCCCACCUGCUGCAGGCAGUCGCAGCACUUGAGUUUGGAACUUCACUCCCAUUGGGCCUCCGUUUUAUAGAUGAGGAGACAUCCACAGAGGCACCAGAAAACCAAGUACCCAGAGAACCUAAUGGGGCUGGAGAAUAAGCCUGGCUGAAGAGGAUAAAACUCUGUUGCACUGUGACCAGCAGGAAGAAACUCCUGGCUUACAAAGGCAGGACUGGGCAGAGACCAGGUCUUCUAGCUCCCUGCCACCAGGCUGCCAUCCCUGAGAGCUUGAAACCUCUGAGGCCUCACUGUCCUACAAGUAGAUACUUGGAUGUGUCCUGCCCAUCUCUCCCUGCAGAGAUGUGGGUGUCUCCAUCCUGGUAGAGCCCAGGGUCUCCUGAAGACACAGGUCUGCAUGGAUAUGGGAGUCAGACACAUAAAAGGCUCCAGCCCCACAAUGGUGCUCUGCCCUUUGCCCUGUGGUAAGGAGACAGUGAAAACCAAGGAAACCAGCAGCACUUCCCAUCCACAGGGAUUAGUCCUCCUAGAAGUUACUGCUGAAUCUUAAAAUGAAAAGAAGUGCAAGCAACCUAAUGUCUCUGAUGGUGGCUCUCAGGCUCAGGAAGACCUUCUGAAUCUUAGAAGCGAACUGGGGGUCUGAGUCUGAUGCCUCUGUAGCAGGAUUUCGGGGUUUAGAAAUGGAUCCAGUGCUUCCCACCCCUCUCACGUGCCUGCAUUUUACAGUCGUGCCUGAGAUAGCUCUGUUGGGUGUAUUUCUUUGGGAUGUAGCACCGAACUGGGUUUAAGAAGUGUACAGCCGUUAACUGGAUGACAGUUACUGCCAUCUAGAGGGCAAACAAGAUGUGGGGAUACACACAGGAGGAAUAAGGCCUCCUGAGGACCAGGGAAGAGGUGAUGCUGGAGCUAGGAGUUAAGGAGCCAAGUAAAGGCAUGGAGAGAGAGCAUGGACAAGGUGUAGGAGCAUGGGACAUUCUGGAAAAUUCUAGACUAGGAUAUAGGGUGUGAGGUCAAGGGUAAGCUUAUGAUCAUGAAUGUCCUCCGACACAUUUAAGCUGUACCUUCUAAGAACUGAGCAAGCACAGACUAUCUCCCAGGUGAGCUAACCAUGACCAGAAAGAGGAGGGGACUUGUGAACCACACAUGCCCAGAGCCGAGCACAGUUUGGGUUUCUCUGCCACCCCCAGAGGACAGUGGCCCACUCACUUACCAGCUUCCUUACCACAGUCAGCUCCCUGGAGAAGGAGAAAGAUAAGAAAAGGGAAGGGCAAUGUGCAGAUGGUGCACUCAAGACCAGCCCAACCCAGGAGGUGACUGACAGCAGUUUGCAGGCUGGCCAUGAUCCAUCAGCCCCAAGUUAGAGUUGCUGGUGCCAGGACAGUAUUAGAAGGAGGGUGGUGUUGGCCCAGGAGACACCAUGCUUUGCCAGCGAGGCUUGAAGGGCAGGGCUCAGGACCCCAGAAGGCUUAUCACACCUGGACCAGAGGAAGCCCCUCCUUCACAGGCAGAGAGAUUCCGCAUGGAGGAAGAGUGAUGGUUUGGUCAGAGUUGCCACCUGCCAAUGCAAGAGACCCAGGAGACACAGGUUCGAUCCCUGGGUUGGGAAGAUCCUCUGGAGAAGGGAAUGGCAACCCACUCCAGUGUUGGAGCCUGGAGAAUCCCAUGGACAGAGGAGCCUGGUGGGCUACAGUCCACAGAGUCGCAAAGAGUCGAACAUGACUGGAGCAACUUCACAUGUAUGCAUGCAAGCACUCAGGCAGCCCAGAGAGCCACCUGGCUGCUUCCUCGGCUCCUAGGAGCCACAGGGCCCCCAAGAGAAGCAGGCACAAAAUCAGCAGGAGUUGGUUAUAACAGCUGCGCCCUCCUGUCUGCUCUCUCUCCCUCCCCCUCCCUUUAGUAAAAGACAACUCCCCUGAUUAGUUUCUGGUUGCCUGUCAUUGUUACUGACUUGUCAUCAAUCUCAAGGUGUACUGGGAUGCUUUAUAUUUACUUGGAGUUGCUUGCCUAGGCGUGCUGAGUUGGCAAUCCUAUUAGCAGAAUUUUUCUUUUCAUUGUGUUUGUGAAAUGAAAUAAAAUAAACAGGCCCUGUCUCUAGGGAGCUCUGCCUGCCUCAUUUCUCUGAACACUGUCAGGCUCCAGGGAGAUCCUAUGAGGUCUUUCGAUGCGGCCAAGGAUACACCUUUACCUUUGGUACUAAGAAGGCCUGGGAGGAAGGGUGGCUGGCUCCUCCAGCCAGGAAGAGAAUUGUGGUGAGGAAGAGAGUCCUGACUGGCCACAGUGAAGGGGUCCUGCAACUGAUCAUGGCCCAAGGCUGCGAUGCCAGACAGCGCAGGUAAGGCAGGGAGACAGGUCCUAGUCCCAGCUCUGCCCUUCCUACCUGGGAGCCUUGCGUGCUAAGUCAUUUCAGUCGUGUCUGA
Molecule: long non-coding RNA, 3230 nt
Organism: Cervus elaphus (red deer)
Lineage: Eukaryota; Metazoa; Chordata; Mammalia; Artiodactyla; Cervidae
Exons: 8
Source: RefSeq, a predicted model, not a curated record